RNAcentral lists this ribosomal RNA (492 nucleotides) under uncultured bacterium. RNAcentral's name for it is "partial 16S ribosomal RNA". It matches the Rfam family "Bacterial small subunit ribosomal RNA", at positions 29 to 507 of the family's 1533-position model. The record is from RNAcentral.
AGUGAACGCUGGCGGUAGGCCUAACACAUGCAAGUCGAACGGCAGCACAGUAAGAGCUUGCUCUUACGGGUGGCGAGUGGCGGACGGGUGAGGAAUACAUCGGAAUCUACUUUUUCGUGGGGGAUAACGUAGGGAAACUUACGCUAAUACCGCAUACGACCUACGGGUGAAAGCAGGGGAUCUUCGGACCUUGCGCGAUUGAAUGAGCCGAUGUCGGAUUAGCUAGUUGGCGGGGUAAAGGCCCACCAAGGCGACGAUCCGUAGCUGGUCUGAGAGGAUGAGCAGCAACACUGGAACUGAGACACGGUCCAGACUCCUACGGGAGGCAGCAGUGGGGAAUAUUGGACAAUGGGCGCAAGCCUGAUCCAGCCAUACCGCGUGGGUGAAGAAGGCCUUCGGGUUGUAAAGCCCUUUUGUAGGGAAAGAAAAGCAGCAGGUUAAUACCCCGCUGUUCUGACGGUACCCAAAGAAUAAGCACGGGCUAACUUCGUG